This 314-nucleotide ribosomal RNA is filed under the name Clostridioides difficile. RNAcentral's name for it is "bacterial LSU rRNA". It matches the Rfam family "Bacterial large subunit ribosomal RNA", at positions 534 to 847 of the family's 2925-position model. Lineage: Bacteria; Bacillati; Bacillota; Clostridia; Peptostreptococcales; Peptostreptococcaceae. The record is from RNAcentral.
GGGAGUGAAAUAGAACCUGAAACCCUGCACUUACAAGCUGUGGAAGCACAUUUCUUGUGUGACCGCGUACUUUUUGUAGAACGGGCCAACGAGUUACGUUAAGUAGCAAGGUUAAGCACUUAAGGUGCGGAGCCGUAGCGAAAGCGAGUUUUAACUGAGCGUUCAGUUACUUGACGUAGACCCGAACCCGGGCGACCUACCCAUGAGCAGGAUGAAGCGAAAGUAAAAUUUCGUGGAGGUCCGAACCCACGAGCGUUGAAAAGCUCGGGGAUGACUUGUGGGUAGCGGUGAAAUUCCAAUCGAGCCCGGAGAUA